Molecule: ribosomal RNA, 1354 nt
Filed under: uncultured bacterium
Lineage: Bacteria
Description: bacterial SSU rRNA
Rfam family: Bacterial small subunit ribosomal RNA
Source: RNAcentral
GAACGGAGAAAGUAACUGCACUGGGCUUUUAGGUGAGUGCGGGAAGGGAAAAGGGAAGCACAAGGGUAAAGGCUGAGUGCAGAUACUUUCUUAGUGGCGGACGGGUGAGUAACACGUGAGCAACCUGGCUUUCAGAGGGGGAUAACGUCUGGAAACGGACGCUAAAACCGCAUAAAAUCCUUGGCGGGCAUCCGCAGGGGAUCAAAUGAGAAAUCAGCUGAAAGAUGGGCUCGCGGCCGAUUAGGCAGUUGGCGGGGUAACGGCCCACCAAACCGACGAUCGGUAGCCGGACUGAGAGGUUGAACGGCCACAUUGGGACUGAGACACGGCCCAGACUCCUACGGGAGGCAGCAGUGGGGGAUAUUGCACAAUGGGGGGAACCCUGAUGCAGCGACGCCGCGUGAGGGAAGAAGGUUUUCGGAUUGUAAACCUCUGUCUUUGGUGACGAGAGUGACGGUAGCCAAGGAGGAAGCCACGGCUAACUACGUGCCAGCAGCCGCGGUAAUACGUAGGUGGCAAGCGUUGUCCGGAAUUACUGGGUGUAAAGGGAGCGUAGGCGGGAGAUCAAGUUGGACGUUAAAUUCAUCGGCUCAACCGGUGCAAGCGUUCAAAACUGGUUUUCUUGAGUGGAGUAGAGGUAAGCGGAAUUCCUAGUGUAGCGGUGAAAUGCGUAAAUAUUAGGAGGAACACCAGUGGCGAAGGCGGCUUACUGGGCUUUAACUGACGCUGAGGCUCGAAAGCGUGGGUAGCAAACAGGAUUAGAUACCCUGGUAGUCCAUGCUGUAAACGAUGAUUACUAGGUGUGGGGGGACUGACCCCUUCCGUGCCGGAGUAAGCACAAUAAGUAAUCCACCUGGGGAGUACGACCGCAAGGUUGAAACUCAAAGGAAUUGACGGGGGCCCGCACAAGCAGUGGAGUAUGUGGUUUAAUUCGACGCAACGCGAAGAACCUUACCAGGUCUUGACAUCGGACGCAUAGCUAAGAGAUUAGCGAAGUCCUUUCGGGGACGUCCAGACAGGUGGUGCAUGGUUGUCGUCAGCUCGUGUCGUGAGAUGUUGGGUUAAGUCCCGCAACGAGCGCAACCCUUAUGUUUAGUUACUACGAAAGAGGACUCUAGACAGACUGCCGUUGACAAAACGGAGGAAGGUGGGGAUGACGUCAAAUCAUCAUGCCCUUUAUGACCUGGGCAACACACGUACUACAAUGGCUAUGAACAAAGGGAAGCAAGCCAGCGAUGGCAAGCAAAACUCAAAAAAUAGUCUCAGUUCAGAUUGCAGGCUGCAACUCGCCUGCAUGAAGGCGGAAUUGCUAGUAAUCGCGGAUCAGCAUGCCGCGGUGAAUACGUUCCCGGGC